Molecule: small nucleolar RNA, 104 nt
Organism: Cavia porcellus (domestic guinea pig)
Lineage: Eukaryota; Metazoa; Chordata; Mammalia; Rodentia; Caviidae
Rfam family: Small nucleolar RNA U13
Source: Rfam
AUCCUCUCAUGGUUGCUAAGUAUGAUUGUUGGGUUUUCACACUACCAUGUGAGAUGUGCCUCCCUCCAACCUUGUUACAGUGUCAGCACAUUACCUAUCUGAAC